Molecule: ribosomal RNA, 253 nt
Filed under: uncultured bacterium
Lineage: Bacteria
Description: partial 16S ribosomal RNA
Rfam family: Bacterial small subunit ribosomal RNA
Source: RNAcentral
UACGUAGGGUGCGAGCGUUGUCCGGAAUUAUUGGGCGUAAAGGGCUCGUAGGCGGUUUGUCGCGUCGGGAGUGAAAACCAGGUGCUUAACACCUGGCUUGCUUUCGAUACGGGCAGACUAGAGGUAUGCAGGGGAGAACGGAAUUCCUGGUGUAGCGGUGAAAUGCGCAGAUAUCAGGAGGAACACCGGUGGCGAAGGCGGUUCUCUGGGCAUGUCCUGACGCUGAGGAGCGAAAGUGUGGGGAGCGAACAGG